GCUGUAACAUUAAUUUGUUUUGCUUUUCAUGUCUCCUGCAGCACGGGCAGUCUGAGCAUCUGAGUCUGGUUCCCAUUUGUUUUGCUUGGAAUGUGUUGGGCUGGCUUGAAUAUCUUCCAUUGUCGUAUGGACGCUUGUCACUCCGUGCAGUAGAGGUUCUGUCAUGUGAUAUUACUCCACACAGAGGGAAGCCGGAGCAGCCCUGCACGCUGCUUUACACCACUGGAAAAUGCUGA
Molecule: long non-coding RNA, 236 nt
Filed under: Numida meleagris (helmeted guineafowl)
Lineage: Eukaryota; Metazoa; Chordata; Aves; Galliformes; Numididae
Description: lncRNA (ENSNMEG00000016780.1)
Source: RNAcentral